RNAcentral lists this ribosomal RNA (244 nucleotides) under uncultured Staphylococcus sp. Its description in RNAcentral is "partial 16S ribosomal RNA". It matches the Rfam family "Bacterial small subunit ribosomal RNA", at positions 96 to 334 of the family's 1533-position model. The record is from RNAcentral. Lineage: Bacteria; Bacillati; Bacillota; Bacilli; Caryophanales; Staphylococcaceae.
CGGCGGACGGGUGAGUAACACGUGGGUAACCUACCUAUAAGACUGGGAUAACUUCGGGAAACCGGAGCUAAUACCGGAUAAUAUUUCGAACCGCAUGGUUCGAUAGUGAAAGAUGGCUUUGCUAUCACUUAUAGAUGGACCUGCGCCGUAUUAGCUAGUUGGUAAGGUAGCGGCUUACCAAGGCAACGAUACGUAGCCGACCUGAGAGGGUGAUCGGCCACACUGGAACUGAGACACGGUCCAG